CCUGUUGUUAUUGAGGAGCUCACGCGCAUGUCCUCUUCAUAUAUUCCACCACACUGCAGGAAUAAACUUCUGUUCCAAAGCCACCUCUGUGUCCCUCCAUCGUGCACCAGAACACAACAGUGUAGUCGGGACAUGUGGAAGCACUGGCAGCGCGGCUACACAAGGACAUGAGGCGAGGUCAAAAAAGACAAAGCCGAGCUGAGCGGAGGGCGUGGAAAGCAAUGGGGUCAAUCUAGCAAUGAGUGUGCUCUGCCGUCAUGCUUAAGAAGGCCAGCAGGUUGGAAGAGACCACGCAGAAAACCUGAUACCCAAUGGCUUGACACUAUCAAAGGGGAUCUCAAACCUGGCACAACCCCGGGGGAUUUCGAACACCUGGCCCAAGACAGCAUCCACUAAAGUCUGAUCAACCCCGUCGAACAAGAAUAGCCAUUACUUUGAAUGAUUGUAUAUACUGUAUAAUAUCUUUAGGUACUCCUGUUAUUUACAUGCUUACUGUCUCACUUGUCCUUCUGACAAUCAAAACAGGUCUACAGGUAGUUCUUAUAAUUAAGAUAGU
Dunckerocampus dactyliophorus (ringed pipefish) is the source of this 556-nucleotide long non-coding RNA. RefSeq lists it as uncharacterized. The record is from RefSeq and is a predicted model, not a curated record. NCBI's taxonomy places the organism in Eukaryota, Metazoa, Chordata, Actinopteri, Syngnathiformes, Syngnathidae. The transcript is spliced from 3 exons.